CAAAGUAUAAACUAGAUACAUGGACAAGCACCAAAGUUCAGUAAUGUCUUACAAUAACAACAUAUUACUCAGAUGUUGUGAUUUGAAGAGAAGAUAGAAAGUAUUCUCUUCAAAAGACACUGGAAAUAAUACAUACUUCACCAGGUGCCUUUGGUAUUAAUAACACAGACAAACCGGAAUGUUUAGGCAACUAUGACUUAAUUAGCACUAACCAAGUGCAGCCUAACCAAGUGCAGCCUCACAAACUCGUAGAUGUAGAGUUUCCGAUGGCUGCUAGUUGAAUGGUAGUCAUCAAGUAGAUUCAGCAAAGCCUAGUUGAAGAUUACCGUAGUCAAAGAUGGUAUGAUAUACACCCAUGAAAACAUCUCCAAGGAUCCUGCAGAAUUUUUUCUUGGCGUUAGAGACAAUGGUUUUCUGAAAUGCCAUUCCAGAAGGGAAAAAAAAAAGUCUGUGGACGUAACACUUGUGUGUGAGGACAUCAAUGCAGCAUGCCCUCUUUGACUUUUUAGUUACCUCAAAUUGUAAGAAUUAAAAACUCAGUAUCUAAUCCAUUCGUCGACUUAAAUUAAGUUGAUACUAGUCAAACUAAUUACGUAUAGGCGAUGCCUUGGGUUUUAUUGUGAAGAAAUGUAUAGUAACAUAGCAGAUAUUUAAUGUAUGGGUCCUAUGGGACUUCAUGGCAACACCCUCAAUUUGAGUUGCAGCAAAUUACACGGUAUCAUUUGACUUGAGUUGGGAGGUAAUGUGAGAAAAUACAUUAUACUUUGACUUGAUUCUUAAGCAGAUAAAGAAAAAGAGCAGCAUAAAAAUAUAAACAGCAAUAUUACAUACCACAGCGGGCCUUUUGGAGGUGGCACAUCCAGAGCUAUAAACCCACUAAGACAGACGGUAGCAACACCUUCUCCAGUUUUAAGUAUAUACUGAAACAAAACAAAAGACAAGGCAACUUGGAAAUAAACCACUAAAGCAAGUACUUUUUGUUUACCAAUUUUCAUCUUGACCUUAACAAUGGUAAUAUCAAUCAUUAGAUGCUUUCUCUUAUGGCGCCUCUUAACUUUAGCUUAGCGGUAUAAUACUAAAAUAAACUCUGCCUAGUCAAUGACUAAUGCAUGCAUACAUUGUGUCGAAAAUGAUAAGUAUGCUGGCUUUACGAGAGUAUCACAAUGUGAAAAGCAUUAUCAUCAAAACCUUUAGGAUAUUUGGAAUUCAGGGAAAAAAAAUCUUCAAACCUGUUCUGGGGUGAGACUGAAAGUUUUCUUUCCAAUUGUAAAUGUGAUGUUUGGCAUUUUGGAGAGGCUGUUGCAAUCAAUUACUGAUUCUCCCAUUGGACUUGGAAAACUUUCACAGAGCUGAUAAAACGUAAAUUAAAUAUUCAAUGCCGCACAAACUAAAUCAUAAAAGAAGUUUCAAGAGUUACUUAAAGAGAUAGUCUUAAAUUGAUCACCUGAUUCACAUAGUUAAGCACCGACUCCUUAGUUCCCUUUUGUUUCAGUUGAGUUGAGACCCAAGACACAAGCAGUUCGCAUGCAGUGCAUCCAAGGUCAUCGCUAGAAGAAGCCUCCCCUUGGUCGGCCUUUUCGACAACUGUUUUAAUGAUUGAACUGAAACGAAAACUUCUAUAAUUGUCAACCAUUGUCCAAUAAGAAAUUAUGAUUACAGGAGCAAAAAUAACAUCCGGUCAUGUUAACUGAAUCCACAUAUACAUCAACAAAUUAUAUUUGCUAUUGGGUUUAUAGGAACUUUAUAUACGUGCUAGUGGAAGUGCAACCAACCUAGGGUAACAUUCGCUCUAAGAAUUUGACUUUAAAUGUUAUACAUUAAUUACAAAAUAACCUACAGCAAUCCUCCCAGCCGACAUUUCAUCCAUGAAAUAACAGCCAUAAUGAUUAUAACAAUUGUUUAAAAGCAAAAUUGUGAUCAUAAAAGCUGUUGGGACAUAGUAAAGCCAGAUACUGUAUAUGAAAUAGUUCAGAUAUCCAAACCUCUGAUGUUUUCCAUAUGAGGAACACAAGCCAAUUUGUGAACAUACUACGUCAGGUCCCAACUGUAAGUAACAUGAUAAAUAAAUUAUGAUACUAAAGCUUAACUAAAUAAGGAUUAAAUAUACCAUAUACUUAAGAGAUGCAUGAAAAACAAACCCCUGAUACUAGAAGAUCCCAUAUCAUUUCUCCAUAUUCAGACACAACUUCUUUACAUUCCAUGCUGACUAUUCCUUCUGCUCCUAUGGCAUGGUUAAUUUGGGUCACCACAUUCUGAAGUUGAUAGACCAACAAAGAUUGUUAGGAUUUCUCAACAGACUUUGGUAAAAAAAAAAAAAAAGGCUUUUUUCAAAAAUACCCAAGUUAAAUAUUUUUUUCCCAAAAAUAUGAUGCAACCACAAUUGCAAGUUGCAACUGUUGCAACAUGAAAAGCAAAUAAUUUCAACCAGGGUUGCAACCUCAUAUGCAACUUUGACCUUAAUUUUUAAAAAAAGUUUGAAAACAUAGGUAUUUUUACAAAUUUGCCAAAAACAAAUAGCAGACAAAAUAAUUUCAAUGUGAAAACCACAUACGGGAGGGUAAGACCAGAUAUUCACUAUAAUGAAUAUAUAACAAAAAUGGAGACACUCCCUCACUUAAUUCGUGAUCAAAUCACCAUAUUUGAUGCAAAAAUCUCUCUUGAACAUGUCCUACAAAAAUCUCUAGUCUUCUCAUACACUCAUUGCCAACAAUCAACCGUUUCUAUAUGCACCAUAACUUUUCCUAUCAUAAUCAACUUAGAACCCUUAUGUAUAAUAAUUAAUAAUUACCAACUUCCUCAUCUUAAAUAGGAAUUUUAAUACAAAUUAAUAUAUUUUCACAAACCUUUUCUAUCAUAAAUAAGAAUACAACUCAUAUAGGAAUGUGGGGCAUAUCCUACAAGCACUGCGUGCAAUUUUUUCAAAAAGAUAACUGACUUCAUAUUUUGAGAAUCAGAAGAAAUUCGGAUCGGUUGAUAAAAGGCAGGGAAACUAACAGUUGGACCAGCAAGCAAGGAUGUCCCAGAAUCCACAAUAGCAGAACAACCUCCAUCACAAUAACCUGAGGGGAAAACAUUGGAGACUCAUAAUCUGUUUUCCAACUAAGUCUAAGGUAAUAAAACAAAUAAAGAAAUUAAUUGACUUUUGUGCUCUUAACAUUUAUCACAAAAAGAAAUUUACAGCUUAUUAAAAUGCCUGAAAAUUUAUUGACUAGAUUAGACCUGAACCACAAUAAUAUUCCUGUUAAGACUCCGAAGUCCUGUAUUAGUAUGUUUGGUUUAGAUCACUUAUUCAAACUUUCUAAAUUGGUCAUAAACAUAGCUGGAAAUGUUAACUUCCCAUGCUGCUUUUAACCAAAACAUCUUUUAGAAAAAAGACUAGUAGCAAGUAAGGAUAGAAAAGUGAAUGCUACACAUUAAAAUUUAUCAAAAGUUCACUUUAAAACAAAAAUUAAAAAAUUGACCUGUCGACAUAUUUCCAAUGAGAAAAUCGCCCAUAUCAAACUGUGAAAAGAAAAAAAGAUGAUCAGCUUUAAUAGAAGAAUAUAACAAAAAAAUCAGAUUAGAUUACCACUUCAUCUUUGAACAAUACAAACCUGCCAGUAACCCUUAUCAGUUAUUGGAACGUAAGUGUGCUCCCCCUUGAAAUGUUUUGGGUCAACACCACCAAAAACAAGCUCACCCCCCUCUUCUGCAUCUGCAUCUCGAUUAAGCCAAAAUGAGAAUACCUCUUCCUUCACCAGACCCUGGUCCACCAUAUUGUACCUGCAUUUUGUAGAAAUUUAGAUACAUUAAAGACAGAAGCACAAAACAGGGAAAAGUCUCUCUUCAAGGAUGUAAAGUUCUAAAAAACAACUGGGUCCAAAAUGAUACCAGGGUGGAACCACAUUUCCGACAGAAAUUUCCUGGAAUCCAAGUCCAAGAAUCCCAUCAAAUUUUGCCACUACAAAAGAAAGGCUUCCUUCUUUCGUAGUCUCAAUGAAAACCUACAUUAAUAGUCAAGACCAUCAGACUAUUAAUAAAAGGUCUCAAAUUUGAGUUGAGUGUGAAAAAAUGGCAGACGUACUUGAUCCUUGAUCAAAAGAUCCCCAACUUCGACAUUGUCUUGACUUAGGAAGCCAGAAACUGAUCCUGAUCCAUAAUUUAUUGUAACCUUUUUUCCUACGAUAAAUCAAUCAAACAAUUCAUGCAUUCAAACUAUUUAUAUAUUAUAAGCUUGAUAGAUUUUCUUAUAGUAAACAACUUCGAGACUGAAUGAAGCUUGAUGUCUUUUACCAUUUUCAGUAUAUGUACUAGAUUUCUUUGAUUUGUACUUGGGAUGUAACCAGCAAGCAAUCUGCACAUAAUUUUAUAUAUUAUGUGACUUUCCAAGUAUGAGGAAUGGAAGAUAGUGAGUGUAAGUUUCCCUAAUAACUCACCGAGAAGUAGCAUUUUGAUGAUGGAACCCAGAGAUUUGAACUCCCAGUAUCAAAUAUGACAGUGAAUUUCUGGAGAGGUGAGCCAAUACCAAUUUCUCCAUAAUAUUGGGCAUCCAAAUAGUUUGUUAGAGAUACAGUAUCGAUGUCCGAAUCACCCAAACCAGUCUUCACAUAUUUACUAUCUAGUUUACUACUUCUGGCAGCUUUAAUGCUGUCGCGAUCCAACUGCCGUUUUUUCAAACCAACUCUCAAUAAACCAUCAGAGGAAGCAUUAAUAAGAGUGCAUGUGAAAGCCCAUAAACAGAGAAUUGUCCAAAGAUACUUAUUCCCCAUGUUCUACGGAUUCUGUUAAUAAAUGACUAAAAGUUAAAUUGUGCGAAUAACAUGAAAAGAGAGCAGGCUAAUCUAGAUAAUAAAAAAUGCAUACCAAAUACAAAAUGCUAUAACUACAAAAUAGAGUGAUUUUGAAUAAGACAGACAGAAGCCAAAUCGGUUGAGAAUCAAUUACACUAUUUAUCAGGCAAAAAAUAUUGAAAACAAAGCUGCUGAAGGGAAAACAAAGUACUAAGUUAUGAUCAAGGAUCACUAGCAUCACAAACAGUGUAUCAAGAAGCCAAUUCUCGAUUAUGAAAACUCCUGAACAGAACUGGAUUUUAAUGCAUUGUUUUUAGUCUAUGGAUUUUAAUGGAUUGUAUGGGAUUUUGAUUUUGUGCGGAUUCUUGAUGAAAUGUCGUAGAGUUGAUAGGAUUUAGGUACAAUGCUUCAAAAUCCCAUUGAAUUUGAUGGGAUUUCAAAAAACUUAAAAUACACUGAAGAAUGCCACAAAAUCCAUCAUUUUAUGAAAUGAAAAAAAAUCCAUCAGCAUUUGAAUACCAUCAGAUUUUAAUGGAUUUUAAACAAUCCCAAUUGAAUACCAUCAGAUUUUAAAGCAUAAUUUAAAAUCCAAUUGAAUACCACCAGAUUUUGUGGCAUAAUUUAAAAUCCCAAUUGAAUACCUCAAGAAUUUAAUGGAUUUCAAACAAUCCCAAUCGAAUACCCUCGGAUUUCAUGAAUGCAAAAAAAUCCUUUAAAAUCCCAAUCCAAUACACCCCUCUAAGUUAUAUAGUAAUCUUUGAUUAGCAAGUAACACACAUUAAAUGAAAUUGUAUUUUGAAUAGGAGUAAGUAAUAUAUUAACAAUCUCUCAAAAAUUAAAUAUUAUGCCUAUUACCCUUACAAAAAAUAAUAUUAUGUUUGUUAAGAAGAUGAUAGGUUAUAGUUUAAAUAAGUGAAAAUAUUACCGGGAUGAUGAAAUUUGAAUUGAUGAUCAGUAGAUAAAUAUUAAUAUUAAUUAAAAAACUAAUAAUGCACGAGGACUAACUCUAUUCUACAAAAAUGAAGAAGUGAGGUAUAAGUUUCUCAGAUAACCAUAUUGACGUUUACCUUUAUCACAUAAUACAUUCCACGGUCUUUUUUUUUAAAUAGUAUAAUUGUAUAUAUGCAUAUUUUUGAAUUUGGUCUAAUACAUAAAUUAGAGAAAUCUAAGAAUUAAAAUCAAAUUUUAUAAUGUUAAAUAUUAGAACAAAUAUUUUCUGGGGGGGCCAAAUUUUUAUAUUUAUAUAAAUGAAUAGAUAAAAUACAAUUUUUUCAAAAUUAUAUAAUACAAAUUUUAUUAUUAGGGAAACCCUAGGGGGGCCAUGGCCCCUUCUGGCCCCUAUAGCUUCGUCCCCGAAUGAUACAUUCAUCUUAUCUUUAAUGUUUUCUAUAUUUGUCGAAUUUCUACAGACUUGUAAAAAAUCAGUAAGAAAAUUCUACAUUAUUUGUUAUCAUAUUGAACUGACAUAUAUUAAUUUAUAACAAUUUAAAAUAUUAAUAACAUAUUUAUUCUAAAAUAUAACCGACCAAUCUAGUGAACACCGUCAAAAAAUAAUAUCGGAGGAAUUCAACAAAUUUUAGGUAAUGUCCCACAACUCCAAUUUAACCGUCCCACGCCCUAUGAAAAUAUAAAUAAAGUUUUCUACCGAACCUGACUAGAGGGAUACAAACAAGAGUUCUUCAUUUUACGAAGUUUAUUGGCAUUAUAAAUUUCCUUAAGAUUAAAAAUUAAAUAAUUGUUACAAAGUUUAACAUAAGAUUAAAAAAAUUAAAUUAUUCCUCAGAAAACAAUUUAUAUGUUAGUAAAACUUAUUCUCCACAAAAUCCAGAAGUAGCAAACAAUAUAUACCACUACAGAUGUUCAUAGACUUAUUAAUUAUGCAACAGCAAAGUAUAAACUAGAUACAUGGACAAGCACCAAAGUUCAGUAAUGUCUUACAAUAACAACAUAUUACUCAGAUGUUGUGAUUUGAAGAGAAGAUAGAAAGUAUUCUCUUCAAAAGACACUGGAAAUAAUACAUACUUCACCAGGUGCCUUUGGUAUUAAUAACACAGACAAACCGGAAUGUUUAGGCAACUAUGACUUAAUUAGCACUAACCAAGUGCAGCCUAACCAAGUGCAGCCUCACAAACUCGUAGAUGUAGAGUUUCCGAUGGCUGCUAGUUGAAUGGUAGUCAUCAAGUAGAUUCAGCAAAGCC
Molecule: long non-coding RNA, 6967 nt
Filed under: Daucus carota (carrot)
Lineage: Eukaryota; Viridiplantae; Streptophyta; Magnoliopsida; Apiales; Apiaceae
Description: long non-coding RNA (DCAR_LNC000380)
Source: RNAcentral